AUUGAACGCUGGCGGCAUGCCUUACACAUGCAAGUCGAACGGCAGCACGGGUGCUUGCACCUGGUGGCGAGUGGCGAACGGGUGAGUAAUACAUCGGAACAUGUCCUGUAGUGGGGGAUAGCCCGGCGAAAGCCGGAUUAAUACCGCAUACGAUCUACGGAUGAAAGCGGGGGACUUUCGGGCCUCGCGCUAUAGGGUUGGCCGAUGGCUGAUUAGCUAGUUGGUGGGGUAAAGGCCUACCAAGGCGACGAUCAGUAGCUGGUCUGAGAGGACGACCAGCCACACUGGGACUGAGACACGGCCCAGACUCCUACGGGAGGCAGCAGUGGGGAAUUUUGGACAAUGGGCGAAAGCCUGAUCCAGCAAUGCCGCGUGUGUGAAGAAGGCCUUCGGGUUGUAAAGCACUUUUGUCCGGAAAGAAAUCCUUGGCCCUAAUACGGUCGGGGGAUGACGGUACCGGAAGAAUAAGCACCGGCUAACUACGUG
RNAcentral lists this ribosomal RNA (486 nucleotides) under uncultured bacterium. RNAcentral's name for it is "partial 16S ribosomal RNA". It matches the Rfam family "Bacterial small subunit ribosomal RNA", at positions 30 to 507 of the family's 1533-position model. The record is from RNAcentral.